AAAUUUUUUCAAAAAAAAAAAAAAAAUCUGUUCUUAUCAGUUUAAUAUCUGAUACGUCCCCCAUCCGGGGACUACAUAUUAAAUGGAUUUUUAGAUCACGGAGCUGGAGCCGGGGCUUGCUCCGUCCACUCCAUGCAUCGGCCUGGUAUUGCAGUGUCUCCAGGAACGGUGUGCUUUCC
RNAcentral lists this small nuclear RNA (179 nucleotides) under Carassius auratus (goldfish). Its description in RNAcentral is "U2 spliceosomal RNA (ENSCARG00000019849.1)". It matches the Rfam family "U2 spliceosomal RNA". From Rfam's summary of the family: U2 is a small nuclear RNA (snRNA) component of the spliceosome (involved in pre-mRNA splicing). Complementary binding between U2 snRNA (in an area lying towards the 5' end but 3' to hairpin I) and the branchpoint sequence (BPS) of the intron results the bulging out of an unpaired adenosine, on the BPS, which initiates a nucleophilic attack at the intronic 5' splice site, thus starting the first of two transesterification reactions that mediate splicing. The record is from RNAcentral. Lineage: Eukaryota; Metazoa; Chordata; Actinopteri; Cypriniformes; Cyprinidae.